UAAUAAUGCAGAAUAUGAAAAUUAAUGGAGAAUGUUGCCCAAAGUGUCUUCCAGGAAAGCGAGUUUAUAAAGACUGUGAUAGUGUAACAAGCACAACAUGUGAUUCAUGUCUCAUGAUGACUUACACUCCUGUUCGGAAUGGAUUAACAGAAUGUCUGCCCUGUUCUGUCUGUGAUACAAGUGAUGGGCUGAGAGUAAAGCCAGGCAUGUACAUUAACAUCAGA
Molecule: long non-coding RNA, 224 nt
Organism: Cyprinus carpio (common carp)
Lineage: Eukaryota; Metazoa; Chordata; Actinopteri; Cypriniformes; Cyprinidae
Exons: 3
Source: RefSeq, a predicted model, not a curated record